GGUUAAGUGACUAAGCGUACACGGUGGAUGCCUGGGCAGUCAGAGGCGAUGAAGGACGUACUAACUUGCGAUAAGCGCAGAUAAGGCAGUAAGAGCCGUUUGAGUCUGCGAUUUCCGAAUGGGGAAACCCAACUGCAUAAGCAGUUACUGUUAACUGAAUACAUAGGUUAACAGAGCAAACCGGGGGAACUGAAACAUCUAAGUACCCCGAGGAGAAGAAAUCAACCGAGAUUCCGGUAGUAGCGGCGAGCGAACCUGGAUUAGCCCUUAAGCACUCGGUGAAGUAGGUGAACAAGCUGGAAAGCUUGGCGAUACAGGGUGAUAGCCCCGUAACCGACGCUUCAUCGAGCGUGAAAUCGAGUAGGGCGGGACACGUGAUAUCCUGUCUGAAUAUGGGGGGACCAUCCUCCAAGGCUAAAUACUCCUGACUGACCGAUAGUGAACCAGUACCGUGAGGGAAAGGCGAAAAGAACCCCUGUGAGGGGAGUGAAAUAGAACCUGAAACCGUGUACGUACAAGCAGUAGGAGCACCUUCGUGGUGUGACUGCGUACCUUUUGUAUAAUGGGUCAGCGACUUAUAUUCAGUGGCAAGGUUAACCGUAUAGGGGAGCCGUAGCGAAAGCGAGUCUUAACUGGGCGCUCAGUCUCUGGAUAUAGACCCGAAACCGGGUGAUCUAGCCAUGGGCAGGUUGAAGGUUGAGUAACAUCAACUGGAGGACCGAACCGACUAAUGUUGAAAAAUUAGCGGAUGACUUGUGGCUAGGGGUGAAAGGCCAAUCAAACUCGGAGAUAGCUGGUUCUCCCCGAAAGCUAUUUAGGUAGCGCCUCGGACGAAUACUACUGGGGGUAGAGCACUGUUAAGGCUAGGGGGUCAUCCCGACUUACCAACCCUUUGCAAACUCCGAAUACCAGUAAGUACUAUCCGGGAGACACACGGCGGGUGCUAACGUCCGUCGUGGAGAGGGAAACAACCCAGACCGCCAGCUAAGGUCCCAAAGUAUUGCUAAGUGGGAAACGAUGUGGGAAGGCUCAGACAGCUAGGAUGUUGGCUUAGAAGCAGCCAUCAUUUAAAGAAAGCGUAAUAGCUCACUAGUCGAGUCGGCCUGCGCGGAAGAUGUAACGGGGCUAAGCAAUACACCGAAGCUGCGGCAAUGUCUUUUAGACAUUGGGUAGGGGAGCGUUCUGUAAGCCGUUGAAGGUGAAUCGUAAGGUUUGCUGGAGGUAUCAGAAGUGCGAAUGCUGACAUGAGUAACGACAAAGGGGGUGAAAAACCUCCUCGCCGGAAGACCAAGGGUUCCUGUCCAACGUUAAUCGGGGCAGGGUGAGUCGACCCCUAAGGUGAGGCCGAAAGGCGUAAUCGAUGGGAAACGGGUUAAUAUUCCCGUACUUCUGACUAUUGCGAUGGGGGGACGGAGAAGGCUAGGUGGGCCAGGCGACGGUUGUCCUGGUUCAAGUGCGUAGGCUUGAGAGUUAGGUAAAUCCGGCUCUCUUUAAGGCUGAGACACGACGUCGAGCUGCUACGGCAGUGAAGUCAUUGAUGCCAUGCUUCCAGGAAAAGCCUCUAAGCUUCAGAUAGUCAGGAAUCGUACCCCAAACCGACACAGGUGGUCGGGUAGAGAAUACCAAGGCGCUUGAGAGAACUCGGGUGAAGGAACUAGGCAAAAUGGUACCGUAACUUCGGGAGAAGGUACGCUCUUGAUGGUGAAGUCCCUCGCGGAUGGAGCUGACGAGAGUCGCAGAUACCAGGUGGCUGCAACUGUUUAUUAAAAACACAGCACUGUGCAAAAUCGCAAGAUGACGUAUACGGUGUGACGCCUGCCCGGUGCCGGAAGGUUAAUUGAUGGGGUUAGCGCAAGCGAAGCUCUUGAUCGAAGCCCCGGUAAACGGCGGCCGUAACUAUAACGGUCCUAAGGUAGCGAAAUUCCUUGUCGGGUAAGUUCCGACCUGCACGAAUGGCGUAAUGAUGGCCACGCUGUCUCCACCCGAGACUCAGUGAAAUUGAAAUCGCUGUGAAGAUGCAGUGUACCCGCGGCUAGACGGAAAGACCCCGUGAACCUUUACUACAGCUUGGCACUGAACAUUGAACCUACAUGUGUAGGAUAGGUGGGAGGCUAUGAAGACGUGACGCCAGUUGCGUUGGAGCCGUCCUUGAAAUACCACCCUUGUAUGU
RNAcentral lists this ribosomal RNA (2170 nucleotides) under Vibrio cholerae. RNAcentral's name for it is "partial 23S ribosomal RNA". It matches the Rfam family "Bacterial large subunit ribosomal RNA", at positions 1 to 2213 of the family's 2925-position model. The record is from RNAcentral. Lineage: Bacteria; Pseudomonadati; Pseudomonadota; Gammaproteobacteria; Vibrionales; Vibrionaceae.